Molecule: ribosomal RNA, 480 nt
Filed under: uncultured bacterium
Lineage: Bacteria
Description: partial 16S ribosomal RNA
Rfam family: Bacterial small subunit ribosomal RNA
Source: RNAcentral
AACGCUGGCGGCAGGCCUAACACAUGCAAGUCGAGCGGAUGAGAGGAGCUUGCUCCUUGAUUUAGCGGCGGACGGGUGAGUAAUGCCUAGGAAUCUGCCUGGUAGUGGGGGAUAACGUUCCGAAAGGAACGCUAAUACCGCAUACGUCCUACGGGAGAAAGCAGGGGACCUUCGGGCCUUGCGCUAUCAGAUGAGCCUAGGUCGGAUUAGCUAGUUGGUGAGGUAAUGGCUCACCAAGGCGACGAUCCGUAACUGGUCUGAGAGGAUGAUCAGUCACACUGGAACUGAGACACGGUCCAGACUCCUACGGGAGGCAGCAGUGGGGAAUAUUGGACAAUGGGCGAAAGCCUGAUCCAGCCAUGCCGCGUGUGUGAAGAAGGUCUUCGGAUUGUAAAGCACUUUAAGUUGGGAGGAAGGGCAGUAAGCUAAUACCUUGCUGUUUUGACGUUACCGACAGAAUAAGCACCGGCUAACUUCGUG